GUGAGGAAUAUUGGUCAAUGGGCGGGAGCCUGAACCAGCCAAGUCGCGUGAAGGAAGAAGGAUCUAUGGUUCGUAAACUUCUUUUGCAGGGGAAUAAAGUGCAGGACGUGUCCUGUUUUGUAUGUACCCUGAGAAUAAGGAUCGGCUAACUCCGUGCCAGCAGCCGCGGUAAUACGGAGGAUCCGAGCGUUAUCCGGAUUUAUUGGGUUUAAAGGGUGCGUAGGUGGUUUGAUAAGUCAGCGGUGAAAGUUUGCAGCUUAACUGUAAAAAUGCCGUUGAAACUGUCGGACUUGAGUGUAAGUGAGGUAGGCGGAAUGCGUGGUGUAGCGGUGAAAUGCAUAGAUAUCACGCAGAACUCCGAUUGCGAAGGCAGCUUACUAAGCUACAACUGACACUGAAGCACGAAAGCGUGGGGAUCAAACAGGAUUAGAAACCCCGGUAGUCC
Molecule: ribosomal RNA, 445 nt
Filed under: uncultured bacterium
Lineage: Bacteria
Description: partial 16S ribosomal RNA
Rfam family: Bacterial small subunit ribosomal RNA
Source: RNAcentral